UGAGUACGAGAUGCUACGGCAUCGAAGCAGUCUAUGUCAUACUUCCAAGAAAAGCUUGCACUGUCAUAAACAAAGAAUGCCUGUACCAUAACCGACACAGGUGGGUAGGUAGAGUAUACUAAGGGGCGCGAGAUAACUCUCUCUAAGGAACUCGGCAAAAUGACUCCGUAACUUCGGGAGAAGGAGUGCCUUAUUUCUAAGGUUGCAAUAACAAGAUCCAAGCAACUGUUUACCAAAAACACAGGUCUCCGCUAAGUCGUAAGACGAUGUAUGGGGGCUGACGCCUGCCCAGUGCCAGAAGGUUAAAGAAGUUGGUUAGCAUUAGCGAAGCUGAUAACUGAAGCCCUGGUGAACGGCGGCCGUAACAAUAACGGUCCUAAGGUAGCGAAAUUCCUUGUCGGGUAAGUUCCGACCCGCACGAAAGGCGUAAUGAUUUGGAUACUGUCUCGGAGAGGGGCUCGGUGAAAUAGACUUGUCUGUGAAGAUGCGGACUACCUGCACCUGGACAGAAAGACCCUAUGAAGCUUUACUGUAACUUGAGAUUGAAAUUGGACUUUAUUUGCGCAGUAUAGGUGGGAGGCGUUGAGAAUAAUCUUGCGGGAUUGUUGGAGCCAUCAGUGAGAUACCACUCUUGUAAUGUUAGAUUUCUAACUUUGUAUCAUUAUCUGGUCAAAGAACAGUUUCAGGCGGGCAGUUUUGACUGGGGCGGUCGCCUCCCAAAGGGUAACGGAGGCGCACAAAGGUUUCCUCUGAACGGGUAGAAAUCGUAUCUAGAGUGUAAAGGCAUAAGGAAGCUUGACUGUGAGACCUACAAGUCGAGCAGGGACGAAAGUCGGUCUUAGUGAUCUGACGGUGCUGAGUGGAAAGGCCGUCACUCAACGGAUAAAAGUUACUCUAGGAUAACAGGCUGAUCUCCCCCAAGAGUUCACAUCGACGGGGAGGUUUGGCACCUCGAUGUCGGCUCAUCGCAUCCUGGGGCGGUAGUCCGUCCCAAGGGUUGGGCUGUUCGCCCAUGAAAGCGGUACGCGAGCUGGGUUCAGAACGUCGUGAGACAGUUCGGUCCAUAUCCGGUGUAGGCGUUAGAAUAUUGAGAGGAGCCUUCUCUAGUACGAGAGGACCGAGAAGGACAUACCUCUGGUGUACCAGUUAUCGUGCCAACGGUAAACGCUGGGUAGCUAUGUAUGGAGUGGAUAACCGCUGAAAGCAUCUAAGUGGGAAGCCCACCUCAAGAUAAGUAUUCUC
This 1242-nucleotide ribosomal RNA is filed under the name metagenome. Its description in RNAcentral is "bacterial LSU rRNA". It matches the Rfam family "Bacterial large subunit ribosomal RNA", at positions 1564 to 2815 of the family's 2925-position model. The record is from RNAcentral.